This 253-nucleotide ribosomal RNA is filed under the name uncultured bacterium. RNAcentral describes it as "partial 16S ribosomal RNA". It matches the Rfam family "Bacterial small subunit ribosomal RNA", at positions 524 to 776 of the family's 1533-position model. The record is from RNAcentral.
UACAGAGGUCUCAAGCGUUGUUCGGAUUCAUUGGGCGUAAAGGGUGCGUAGGCGGCGCGGUAAGUCGGAUGUGAAAUCUCGGGGCUUAACUCCGAAACUGCAUUCGAUACUGCGGUGCUUGAGGACUGGAGAGGAGACUGGAAUUCAUGGUGUAGCAGUGAAAUGCGUAGAGAUCAUGAGGAAGACCAGUGGCGAAGGCGGGUCUCUGGACAGUUCCUGACACUGAGACACGAAGGCCAGGGGAGCAAACGGG